CAGUCGCCACGGGAAUACGUAGGUGGCAAGCGUUGUCCGGAAUUAUUGGGCGUAAAGGGCUCGCAGGCGGUUUCUUAAGUCUGAUGUGAAAGCCCCCGGCUCAACCGGGGAGGGUCAUUGGAAACUGGGAGACUUGAGUGCAGAAGAGGAGAGUGGAAUUCCACGUGUAGCGGUGAAAUGCGUAGAGAUGUGGAGGAACACCAGUGGCGAAGGCGACUCUCUGGUCUGUAACUGACGCUGAGGAGCGAAAGCGUGGGGAGCGAACAGGAUUAGAUACCCGCGUAGUCCCUGUCUCUUAUAC
RNAcentral lists this ribosomal RNA (301 nucleotides) under uncultured bacterium. Its description in RNAcentral is "partial 16S ribosomal RNA". It matches the Rfam family "Bacterial small subunit ribosomal RNA", at positions 509 to 807 of the family's 1533-position model. The record is from RNAcentral.